RNAcentral lists this long non-coding RNA (429 nucleotides) under Panax ginseng (ginseng). Its description in RNAcentral is "long non-coding RNA (PGIN_LNC018597)". The record is from RNAcentral. Lineage: Eukaryota; Viridiplantae; Streptophyta; Magnoliopsida; Apiales; Araliaceae.
AACCAACGGUCUAAAAAAUUAGCACAUCUCCUCAUGGAAUAAUAUUGUACCCAAAAAUAAUUUGAACCAAAAAGAAAUAUAUCUUACGGGUGAAUAGUAUCCCAUAAAUAGUAACUCAUGAAUAGUAACUCAUGAGUAGUAACUCGUGAAUAGUAACUCAUGAAUAGUAACUUAUGAAUAGUAACUCAUGAAUAGUACUCUAACAUGAAAAGUGCCCCGAAUACCCGAUUGAACAAUAUAACCUCCAGACAUCAAUUAUUAUCGAAACAAAUGUCGAUUUCCACUAACACUAAUAAUCCCAACACAAUGGAACUAUCAAUUCAUCUUUAAUCAACACGAACUUAUUCAUCAUUAAUAUUAUAAUUUAUAAUAUUUAACAACCAGGUCGUUCCCAGGAAAGAGGGGGCUUUCCGAUAAGUAUUUCUCCUU